This 486-nucleotide ribosomal RNA is filed under the name uncultured bacterium. RNAcentral describes it as "bacterial SSU rRNA". It matches the Rfam family "Bacterial small subunit ribosomal RNA", at positions 29 to 534 of the family's 1533-position model. The record is from RNAcentral.
AACGAACGCUGGCGGCAUGCCUAACACAUGCAAGUCGAACGAGACCUUCGGGUCUAGUGGCGCACGGGUGCGUAACGCGUGGGAAUCUGCCCCUUGGUUCGGAAUAACAGUUAGAAAUGACUGCUAAUACCGGAUGAUGACGAAAGUCCAAAGAUUUAUCGCCGAGGGAUGAGCCCGCGUAGGAUUAGCUAGUUGGUGGGGUAAAGGCCUACCAAGGCCACGAUCGGUAGCUGGUCUGAGAGGAUGAUCAGCCACACUGGGACUGAGACACGGCCCAGACUCCUACGGGAGGCAGCAGUGGGGAAUAUUGGACAAUGGGCGCAAGCCUGAUCCAGCAAUGCCGCGUGUGUGAAGAAGGCCUGCGGGUUUGUAAAGCACUUUCAGUGGGGAAGAACAGAUUCGGGUCAAUACCCCGGAGCCCUGACGUUACCCACAGAAGAAGCACCGGCUAACUCCGUGCCAGCAGCCGCGGUUAAAGUAGUCGUG